This 440-nucleotide ribosomal RNA is filed under the name uncultured bacterium. RNAcentral describes it as "partial 16S ribosomal RNA". It matches the Rfam family "Bacterial small subunit ribosomal RNA", at positions 339 to 795 of the family's 1533-position model. The record is from RNAcentral.
CUACGGGCCGCACCAGUGAGGAAUAUUGCACAAUGGGGGGAACCCUGAUGCAGCAACGCCGCGUGGAGGAUGACGCAUUUCGGUGUGUAAACUCCUUUUAUAUGUCAAGAAAAUGACGGUAGCAUAUGAAUAAGCACCGGCUAACUCCGUGCCAGCGAGCCGCGGUAAUACGGAGGGUGCAAGCGUUACUCGGAAUCACUGGGCGUAAAGGACGCGUAGGCGGGUUGGAAAGUCAGGUGUGAAAUCCUACAGCUUAACUGGAGAACUGCACUUGAAACUUCUAAUCUAGAGUAUGGGAGGGGGAGAUGGAAUUAGUGGUGUAGGGGUAAAAUCCGUAGAUAUCACUAGGAAUACCUAAAGCGAAGGCGAUCUCCUGGAACAUUACUGACGCUAAGGCGUGAAAGCGUGGGGAGCAAACAGGAUUAGAUACCCUUGUAGUC